AACGAACGUUGGCGGCGUGCCUAACACAUGCAAGUCGAGCGCGGGCAGGACUUCGGUCCUGUUCCGAGCGGCGCACGGGUGAGUAACACGUGAGUAACCUGCCUCGAAGUUUGGGAUAACCGCCCGAAAGGGUGGCUAAUACCGGAUAAGGCCCCCACUGGCACAGGCCAGAGAGGGAAAGCCUUGGCGCUUCGAGAUGGGCUCGCGUCCCAUUAGCUAGUUGGUGAGGUAACGGCUCACCAAGGCGAAGAUGGGUAGCUGGUCUGAGAGGAUGAUCAGCCGACACUGGAACUGAGACACGGUCCAGACUCCUACGGGA
RNAcentral lists this ribosomal RNA (319 nucleotides) under uncultured bacterium. Its description in RNAcentral is "bacterial SSU rRNA". It matches the Rfam family "Bacterial small subunit ribosomal RNA", at positions 29 to 346 of the family's 1533-position model. The record is from RNAcentral.